AUUGAACGCUGGCGGCAUGCCUUACACAUGCAAGUCGAACGGUAACAGGUCUUCGGAUGCUGACGAGUGGCGAACGGGUGAGUAAUACAUCGGAACGUGCCUAGUAGUGGGGGAUAACUACUCGAAAGAGUGGCUAAUACCGCAUGAGGUCUACGGAUGAAAGCAGGGGAUCGCAAGACCUUGUGCUAGUAGAGCGGCCGAUGGCAGAUUAGGUAGUUGGUGGGAUAAAAGCUUACCAAGCCGACGAUCUGUAGCUGGUCUGAGAGGACGAACAGCCACACUGGGACUGAGACACGGCCCAGACUCCUACGGGAGGCAGCAGUGGGGAAUUUUGGACAAUGGGCGCAAGCCUGAUCCAGCAAUGCCGCGUGCAGGAUGAAGGCCUUCGGGUUGUAAACUGCUUUUGUACGGAACGAAAAGCCCUGGGUUAAUACCCUGGGGUCAUGACGGUACCGUAAGAAUAAGCACCGGCUAACUACGUGCCAGCCGCCGCAGUAA
RNAcentral lists this ribosomal RNA (498 nucleotides) under uncultured bacterium. Its description in RNAcentral is "partial 16S ribosomal RNA". It matches the Rfam family "Bacterial small subunit ribosomal RNA", at positions 30 to 523 of the family's 1533-position model. The record is from RNAcentral.